This is a long non-coding RNA of Frieseomelitta varia, 1472 nucleotides long. RefSeq lists it as uncharacterized. Lineage: Eukaryota; Metazoa; Arthropoda; Insecta; Hymenoptera; Apidae. The record is from RefSeq and is a predicted model, not a curated record. The transcript is spliced from 2 exons.
UUCGUUUAUUUGUUAUUUGAUAAUUCUCUCUCCAGUUUUUCUUUAUAGGCGAGAUUAAAACGUGCGUGAGAAAUGCUAAUGAUUCUCGUUGAAUACUUUUAAGAAAGAUGUCGAACUUUAUCAGAAUCAACAUACUGGUUGUACACGAUCAUUGUCUCAUCCUGAUUUUUAUUAAUAUUUCCCGAAACUCCAGCUCUCAAACGAUUACUCAAAUUGAACGCAAUCUAUCUAUCAAAAGAGUAAUAUCUGAAUUUCAUUUGUGGAAUCGUCCUGCCAUUUCUGUAUAUUACGCCUAUUAGGCUGUUCAAUUUUCGUACCUCUAAACACAUUUCUCGAUAAUUGUUUUAACUGUUUCACUUCUCUUAGAUAUCUGCGAGAUCUACCGAUACGUUACACUUCGCCGAAUAUAUAUUUUCCAUAUUUUCCAUUUUGUUCGUUGUACUGCAAACUUAAUGUUAAAAAUUGGUCAAGCGAUAUUAAUUAAUUUAUGGUUGUUCUCUCGUCAAAAAAUCUCAAAGAAAAGGUUUGCAUAAAUCCACAAAUGCUCGCACAUAUCUAAUGCUUCGAAUUUAGUUGUCCAAAUACGGUCAGGAACAGCGCACAAUAAAUGUACAGUAAUGUGAAAACAUCUGUUAACUGCGUUGAGAGUAUUGUAUACUAAAACUUAAAUAUUUAAUAACCUGCUCCUCUCGACUAAUCAACAUUGACGAUUUGUUCAUGAUAAAACAUGAUUCGAGUCUCGUCAAACCAAAGAAAAACCAAUUGUUCCUUUCUUUUUUUUUUUUUUAAGCCAUUCGUUACAAGAGCUGAAGCAUAAAGUUCAGACCGGAUGCUCACGCUGGCACACGUCGUUCCAAUCCUUCACGCUACCACGUCGAAGAUAAGAUCAAUUGCCACACACGAAGCUUAACCUUAACUAUGUACACGCGUAUCGCAUUUGAUUUUAAUCUUUUGCGAAAAUCGACGAUGUGUUUCGUCAUGCUACCGAUAAGAAAAAGAAAAAAUACAUGGAAUGGCAAAUCCUAUUUUCCCUUACGAUAGAAAUAAUUAUUAGAAGCAAGCAGCGACUCGGCUGAGACCAUUUUCCUCUCUGUCUUUUUUUCUUUUUCUUUCCUUUUUUUUUUUGUUUACAAACACUGUCAGUUACCUCGACAACGCUCGAGUUCAAAAUCUGCUCGAUAAAUCUGUUUCAAGAAAUCUGUUCGAAAGUUUUGCAACGGACAUCAAGGAAGAAGGAAAAGGAAUGAGUUAUUUUACAUUCGCGUGACCUAAACGAUAUGUAUGUAAAGCGCGAUCGAAACAAAUUGUUUCUUUAAUUGCACACAAGUUCGAACUUUCGAGCGUUCAAUGAUUAGAUUUAUCAUUCCAUUUCUAUAUCUUGUUAAGAUUUGUGAACCUUUUAAUCAUAAUUCAGUGAAUUAUAUAAUCUAUCUGUACAUUCACAACCGUUCAAAUACACAAUAAUAUCAACA